RNAcentral lists this transfer RNA (71 nucleotides) under Glis glis (Fat dormouse). RNAcentral's name for it is "tRNA-His". It matches the Rfam family "tRNA". From Rfam's summary of the family: Transfer RNA (tRNA) molecules are approximately 80 nucleotides in length. Their secondary structure includes four short double-helical elements and three loops (D, anti-codon, and T loops). Lineage: Eukaryota; Metazoa; Chordata; Mammalia; Rodentia; Gliridae. The record is from RNAcentral.
GUAGAUAUAGUUUAACAAAAACAUUAGAUUGUGAAUCUAAUAAUAGAAGACUUUAAACCUUCUUAUUUACC